CAUCAUCCACGGAUAGACCUUGAACAAAUUGCUAUUGUUCGUUUGGAUUGUAUUAGAAUGAGAAAGGAAAAAAAUCCCUGUGCUUUCUGUCUUUGUGGCGGCCCAGAUUGAAUACUGAAAUACAUCU
Pteropus alecto (black flying fox) is the source of this 127-nucleotide non-coding RNA. NCBI's taxonomy places the organism in Eukaryota, Metazoa, Chordata, Mammalia, Chiroptera, Pteropodidae. The record is from Rfam.